GCGCCUGUAGCUCAAUUGGAUAGAGUAUCAGAUUCCGAUUCUGGCGGUUGCAGGUUCGAUCCCUGUCAGGCGCACCA
This 77-nucleotide transfer RNA is filed under the name Floccifex porci. Its description in RNAcentral is "Erysipelotrichaceae bacterium LKV-178-WT-2G tRNA-Arg". It matches the Rfam family "tRNA". From Rfam's summary of the family: Transfer RNA (tRNA) molecules are approximately 80 nucleotides in length. Their secondary structure includes four short double-helical elements and three loops (D, anti-codon, and T loops). The record is from RNAcentral. Lineage: Bacteria; Bacillati; Bacillota; Erysipelotrichia; Erysipelotrichales; Erysipelotrichaceae.